Long non-coding RNA from Paramisgurnus dabryanus, 1129 nucleotides. RefSeq lists it as uncharacterized. The record is from RefSeq and is a predicted model, not a curated record. NCBI's taxonomy places the organism in Eukaryota, Metazoa, Chordata, Actinopteri, Cypriniformes, Cobitidae.
AUAGAAAAAUGUUUUGUAUUUUAUUAUUAUCAAAUGUUUUAGCGCAUGAUGACAAUUAAAACCGAAUGUCUGUUUGUUUUCAGAUAUUGGUUACAGUAAACCAUUUGAUGAACCAGGUACAAAACUAGCUCCGGUGAUUGGUCCAUGAUGACGUAUUAGUUAUGUCCAUUUUGAUGAUGAUGAUAAUGACAUCACCAAAUCUCAGUAUGAGGUCAGUGUUUUCGUUAUAAUGAGAGAUGGUAAAGGGACACAGAACAAAGACGUAAGGCUCGUGACUGAGUGAGUCAGCAAGUUCAGGAGAAUGACUCACUGAAUUGUUCCUGAGAGGAUUUGUUCCGUAUGACCACUGGCUUGAAGACAAAUUAUUGUCUAAACCGUAUCCUAUGAUGACCUGACCAGACAGACUAUCUUUCACCUCCAGACAACAUAUUUGACACACAUGAGCUCUUUUAAUUCCCUAUGACAUUUCCUCUAUAUUAUACUCCCUGCACGUGCACACACUGUCAUCUUUAUGAUGCUGUGUGAGUGUAAGACCAUAUAUGGUCAUUCACCUGUAUUUUUCCUAUGCUUUCUGUCUGUGUUUACUUGUAUCUUUCAGUCACGAGGCUAAGUCAGUAGCAAGAUGCAGAUGCUUUUAAGCUAAGUUACAAAUUAGGAAAUGAAUGGACUGCUUUCUUGCACACCUACUAGAAGAAAUUUAUGUCUAUGAAUCUCUUUUAAAAUUAUGUCUAUUAAGUUAAAUAUUUAGUCUAAUUUUUCUGUUCUCCACAAUUUUACCUUCUUAUGUUUGCAUACCUGAACUAAAUUGCAAGCCAAAUAGCUCCAUUUACAUUUUUUUUAUUAAAUAUAUGUAUGUGGGUUUUUAUUUGUGUAUAUGUGAGGACUCUCAGUAAAGCUUAAAAUGCUCUUAGUUUAUGCUGUUUAACAGUGUUUGUUGCUGCUCAUCCACAGCCAAGAUCUUUGGAUUAAAGUUAAAAUUAUCCUAAUUUACAAACUUUUCGUCUCGCCCCGCAACUCAACCCUGAAUCUGGCAUUGCAUGCAUAAAGCAAUUGACCCCUUUUUAAUAUGAGUUUGUAUAUUCAAAUACAGGAAUGUAAAUGCACACUUUGAUCAAGGAUAAAGACAAUA